RNAcentral lists this ribosomal RNA (425 nucleotides) under uncultured bacterium. RNAcentral's name for it is "partial 16S ribosomal RNA". It matches the Rfam family "Bacterial small subunit ribosomal RNA", at positions 354 to 796 of the family's 1533-position model. The record is from RNAcentral.
GUGGGGAAUCUUGCGCAAUGGGCGAAAGCCUGACGCAGCCAUGCCGCGUGAAUGAUGAAGGUCUUAGGAUUGUAAAAUUCUUUCACCGGGGACGAUAAUGACGGUACCCGGAGAAGAAGCCCCGGCUAACUUCGUGCCAGCAGCCGCGGUAAUACGAAGGGGGCUAGCGUUGCUCGGAAUUACUGGGCGUAAAGGGCGCGUAGGCGGACAGUUUAGUCAGAGGUGAAAGCCCAGGGCUCAACCGUGGAAUUGCCUUUGAUACUGGCUGUCUUGAGUACGGGAGAGGUGAGUGGAACUCCGAGUGUAGAGGUGAAAUUCGUAGAUAUUCGGAAGAACACCAGUGGCGAAGGCGACUCACUGGCCCGUUACUGACGCUGAGGCGCGAAAGCGUGGGGAGCAAACAGGAUUAGAAACCCUUGUAGUCC